Molecule: long non-coding RNA, 9906 nt
Organism: Neofelis nebulosa (Clouded leopard)
Lineage: Eukaryota; Metazoa; Chordata; Mammalia; Carnivora; Felidae
Exons: 4
Source: RefSeq, a predicted model, not a curated record
UGAAACAGGCUCCAGGCUCUGAGCUGUGAGCACAGAGCCCGACACGGGGCUCGAACUCACAAACCGUUGAGAUCAUGACCUGAGCCGAAGCCGGAUGCUCAACCGACUGAGCCACCCAGGUGGCUCUGUAUUUACUUACUUUUUAAAUAUGCAACAACGUGAAUCCCGGCUGACUUGUAGGGUGGGUGAUUGGUGUUUUCCUCGUGUAUGCUUCUCAAUUCUUUACAUGGGCAUAUUUAAUAUCCUGGAAGAAAAUAUUUUUUGAAAAAGCUUUGGAUUGCACUGGUUAAAAUGUGAUAACUUGAUUGAAAUACAAGUCUGUUAAAUCCAUAAAUACAGAUGCAAGAAAGACAUUUUUAAUUUUCCAGUGACGAGUGGAGAUAUUUGAAACCCCUUGGUGUUUUUUAAGACGGAAUUCUCUUCUACAGAAUUAAGUUCUCUUUGUUUAAAUGUGUUCUUGGUUUUCAAAUUGAAUAGAGUCCCUGGCACAUACCUGUGGUUCUCAUGAUGUAUGUGCAUGUGCUAACUUCAUUUACAGACAGCAGGGAGAGACGGGGCCUCUAAUGCAUCUUUCCCAAUAAAAGGGCGUAGUCACAAAAAUACUUAGUCUGAUAGUUUCGUAUAUGAAACUCGGUCACUUACGAUAGGUCCGCACGAAGGACAAGACUAAAGCUGUGGUGAAAUAAUUUAUAAGAUACAUGCAGUCAUGUGCUUAUGAAGGAAGUAAUAAAACAGUGAAGACCGUUUAGUUCAGAUUUCCAAACCAGGAAACUGUGAUCUACAUUAGGCAGAGAGCACGUUAAUUCAGUGGAAAGGGUUUUCUUUAACUGAACUAUUUUUAGUGUGGACAGUCGAAAUGAUCUAUCGCUUUGAGCUUGAAACACAAGUUGUGCGUUUUAAGAAGUAAAAGGCAACACGGUGUUAGGUACAGAUAUCGUCAAAUAAGGCAAGCGUCGCAGCGAAUGUGGGGGGACAUCACACACCUGCCCCCGUGUGCCUCCCUGUGUUUGCUCAUUGAGCCUGGGAAACUGAGACGGAGGUCAUAGUGGACCUCAGCACACCCUGAGCCAUGGGACCACAAGCGGUUUUUCCUCGGGACACAAGCAGCUCCUCGCUACAUGCAGGGGUCCCGGGUGAACGCUGCCCUUGCUUGGUAAGGUGCACAGCGACAGGCAGUCACUACCCUACCGAUGCCUUUGUGUUUGCAAGUUACUUGGGCAACUCGGAACACAAGAGAGAUGGGAUUAGGAAAUGAAGAAAUGCCCACGUGAGGUGGGGCCCCACGGUUUUGCCUGGCUUCUCCGUGGUCUUUGUUAUUCAAAUAUCCUGUUGUGUAAGUACAAAGACAGGAAGUGAGUUCUACAAACCCUUACAACAGCAGCAGUCUUGGGUUUCAGAUAAGUAGGUGUGCCUAGUGCUUCGGGAAUUGAUACAUAUUUAGGUUUUUUUGUUUGUUUUUUGAAAAUGCUGAAAAGUACUACAUUUUCUCUGGGCAAAACAUCUUUGGUAUUUCAAAAAAAGCCCUGACAUUACUGUGUAAAUAGUCUCGUUAAUAACUGCCUCUUGGGCCUGUCCCAGACUUUAAUUGUUUAGCUUUGCGCUUUAUUUGUGUCUCUCUCAAAACACUGCCGUGUGUCUUCGGAGGUGAGAGAGAGGUGGAGCCAGUGAGCAGCACAGAGUAGGCUGUGCGUUGUUUUUGGCCCCGGGGCUGCUGGUUUUCCUGGGGAUCAGACCCCCUGGGCGUGUGUGCGGGGAGAGGGACCCCCUUGCUCUGUCACCCGCGGGGCUGGCUUUCUGCAGAAAGGGGGCUGCGGUGGGAGGGUUUCCUCUGCUGCUCAGGGCCCACCCCUUCCUCUCUCAGGCCCAGAAGCCCAAGAACCCCCAUGUGAGCCUUAUUCACUACUCUGUUCCCAUUUCCGUGCACUGGUUGUAUUUUGGAUUGCAGAGUUUGGAAGUCUAAACAUCUUCCCGCACUGAGGAAUACGCAAGGAUUUUGGUUCAGACUCCAAGUUAGGAAACACCUACGGAGUUUGUGUGUUCGUAAGAAAAACUGGAUGAAAUGCAAUAAAAUGGCGGGUUGUUUUUGGGGGGGUGGGUAUGGCUGUUAUUCAUUUUAUCGACACACAGUAUUUUAAGUGAGACUCCCAGGUCGUGGGAUUGGGAAGCGGCCCUCCUGAUUGUCCCGAAUGAAACCUUGAACUGAGAAUAGGGAGCGUGGGAGUUUGGGCUUUUCCAGUAGUUUCUGAGCUCUGGACUCCGGGAUGGGGCAUGAGUUCCCGGCUCGCCUCCGCCCCCUGCCUCCAGUGGGCCUCGAAGACGCUUCCCCUUUCUGCUCCUCAAAUAAGCCUCGGCCUGGCCUCCCUGCUCGGCUUUACCCCCGCGGCCAGCGGGCCGGUGAAUGAGUGCACAGUCUCCUGCUUGGACAUAGUGAAUGUCCUUAAGCCUCAACAAAAUGACUAUCGCGUCUUUAAAGUUUCUCUUAGAAGGGUCACCACAUUCUGAGGAAGUUCAAAGAAUAUAAAAUCGAACGUUCGGGGAGGAAAUCGGCUACAUUUUGCUCUGGUGUUUUCAGGCUGGCGAUGGGCAUUUAGCGCAUUAAUUACGCAAGACCCGCUACAUUUUAAAAGUCAUUUGAAGAUUUGGGGAAGAGAUCCAAAGUGUUGCGAGACCGACGGCCUUUCAUGUUGAAUCAAGACGCUUCCCACUCACAGAAGUGCUUCUGACCUAAGUGGAAAUUGAAUUCAGGCCCAGCAGCAGACGGAGAGCAGAACUGGACUGACCCAGCGAGAAAUCUGGCAAGUGUCCUUGGCCUGUUCUCCACUUUUCUGAAAACACAGGCGCCAGGAGAGGUUUCCAUAGCAGCUUCCAAAUUGGACACCAAACUUCGCUCAGCAGGACAUUGACAGUUUUCCAUUUCUCCUUUUCCACGUUUCGUCACUUUUCUUGGCGUCCUGCAGUUUGUAAAAGGUACAGAUGGCGGCCGCCAUGCUUGCGGGCGCUGAAGGACCGGGUCAAGGUAAGGACGGCCCCUGCUGGGUCUGCUCAGUCCCAGCCAGGCUGCAGGAGGAGUCGGGGGGCAGCGAAGGGGUGCCCCCAGAUGUGCGCCUGCCUUUCUCGUGCAGUGAGUCAAGCGCUGUAGAUGCCAGGGGCCCCAGCUUCCUCAUGACAGUGGCCAGGCCGGUGGGGGAGCCCCUGGUGUCCCCUCCAUUUUCUUAGUGACACAGUGGGCAAGACCUGUCCCUCUGCCACUGCAGGGACGCCUGUGUUUCUCAAGUGCACAGGGCUGAGUUCCAACUCACUGCCUCCCGGAGCCUCCAGGGUCCCAGACCCCCUUCCGAUCUUACGCGCAGGUCGUCCCUGGUUCGCCCUCUGUCAGGACUGGGCAGGACAGUGCGGCGGGACACUUGGGACAAAUAGUUAGCAGGCCGAUCCUGGAGGGCCUGGCUCCUGCCCUCCUCAGUUACCUGCCUUGCCGUUGGCCCACGCGGACCCUGAGCCAACCGGCCCCUUUCUGAAGCCCAAACCAGGUCCUGGGAGCCGUGGACAAGUCUGUCCCCUGGACAGACUGCAGACCCAAGCUCCGCUUCUGGGCGGCCCCAAACGGCCGUAGUCAUCCUUUGUUUCUGCUUCUUCGCCCACCUCGCUGAAUCUCCGUCAGUCUCCAGAGAAGUCUCCGUGCCUUCCCCAGUUCCACCAUGCUGCCCAAUGACAUGUCUGCAGGUGACACGCUGGCACGUUGUUAACAGGAACAGAGUUGACACCAACUUUUACUCUCCUCUCUCCUCCUCCGAAUCACCUGCCUUUCUCUCCCGGCCUUGAGGGGCGGUGCACCCCUCUACUGCUGAGGUCAGUCUGUCCUGGGUCCUUUUCACCAUCAUCAUCUAUGGUCAGGUCAUUUCCCACCCACUCAGUUUUUAUUCUUCUCUUGGUCGACACGCGUGUCCACAUUCUUCCAGCUGGAAAACCGGCCACAAGGACCGGGGAGGGCGUCCCAAAGCCCCUGAGCGCCCGGCGCCUCCUUACCCUGCGAUCCGGCUGCGGAGACCGCACUACCGCGUGAACCGUGUGGCAGAUGGACGGCAGGUGCUAAGGAGGAGGUUCACGCAGGAAGUGUGCGUGGGUGCGCGGGACGCCCCUCAGAACACACGCGUGUGCACCCCGAAGAUGACACCCAGGCCGCUGACCCAGGAGCAGCUUCUACUGCCUUCCUUGUGCCCUCGUCCGUUUCCCGUACUUUCCCCGAGCAACACGUGAACACACGGCGACUUUUAGCGAGCACUGAGCUAAGAGCUGUAGUGCGUUGGCUCAUUUAACUUUUCCAGCUGCUCUGAGGAUUGUCCCCUUAGGACCCCUGUCUUAUAGACAAGGGAGCUGAUGCUUUGAGCGCCCGAGAGGCCUCCGGAGCCGACCGCCCCCCCCUCCCCCCCCCAGUGCUCUCACACCUGUGGCUGUGAAGCAGGAGCAGGUCCCCAUGGCCAGGGCUGCUGGGACGUACACCCGGAAGAAUUGAAGGAGACGGGAUGGGCGGCAGCAGAAGGUGGGCGAAGAGCCCUGAGCAGGGAGAGCCCUCACAUGGACCCAUCACUGGAAGUGGGCGGCGUCUAGGGGGCCUUCGUAAGCUUGCUGGGCAGGUCCCUCCAGGCGAGGCGACUCUCGGAGGCGUCCUCAGCUGUAGGCUGUCACCACCCUGGAGGGGUGAGGGGUGAGGGGCUUCAGUUCCGAGGGGGAUCUGGAUGGCCCGCUGUGUGCCCACGACAAACACCCAUGGACUCUCGAGGGCACAAUCAAAUCUCACUUCCCCCAGGGAGCGUUCCUCGAUUACCCUGAUCAGGAUGGGCCCUAACGACCCCACAAAAAUACCUUGUGCCCGCUGGGUGAUUACCUUCUCCCUUCCCCCCGUCGGGCCCUGGUGAUCUCCAAUCUGUCUUCUCUCCUGGACAUCGCCUACAAGAAGAACCACGGUACGUGUCCUUCUGUGCCUGGCCUCUUUCACUGGGCAGAGUUUGUCAAGGUUUGUUAGCACUGCAUUUUUGGGUCUCCCCCAAAUUUAUGUGUUGAACCCUUAACCCCCGGUGUGAUGGUAUGAGGAGGUGGGGCACUGGGAGGUGAUUGGGUCAUGAGGGGGAUCGGUGCCCUCAUAAACCACGGGGAGCCAUGGGAUUUUUGUCCGCCUGGGGAGCACACCGCGAGGAGGCAUCAUCUACAGGCCAGGAAGAUGGUCUUCACCAGAUCCGGGCUCUGCCGGCACGUCCCUAUCAGACUUCCAGCCCCCAGAACUGUGACAGAUACGUGUCUGUUUAUUCAAGCUGCCGUGCCUGGGAUACUGUGCUAGGGACGCCUGAGUAGAUUAAGCAGGUGCAUCCCGGGAAGUGGUUCGGGACCUGGGAGCAGCUACAGAUGCACAGCUACCUUCAGUAGCAAGAGUGAUGGUUAUCGUAUAAAAUUCAUCAUCCAGGAGCACCUGGGUGGCUCCCUCAGUUGAGCGUCCGACUCUUGGUUUUGGCUCAGGCUAGGAUCUCGCGGUCCGUGGGUUCGAGCCCCGCGUCCAGCUCUGUGCCGACAGCUCAGAGCCUGGAGCCUGCUUCGGAUUCUGCGCCUCCCUCUCUCUCUGUCCCUCCCGCGCUCACACUCUGUCUCUCUCUCUCUCUCUCUCUCUCUCUCUCUCAAAAAUAAAUAAACAUUAAAAAAAUAAAAUAAAAUUCUUAAUCUGUACCUCGGCCAUCAAAAGGACAAAGCCCAGAUGAUACGCUGCAUAAAAUAAUCACCACCCUUGUUGCUGAAGAGAAUUGUAUGUUCACACCUGCUCCCUGGCCCCACACUGUGCCCUUGGCUGUCAGAUCCUUGGCUCUUGGGAUCUCUCACAUUGGCUCUUGGGAUCUCUCUUGGGAUCCCAAUAUUUUAGGGAAAAUAUUGAAAAACAGGUAGCAGUAACCGUUUCAAUAUUUUAGUGUAUGUAUUUCUUUUAUUUCAAUUGUUUGUUAAGUUUCAAGCGUGCAAUAUAGUGGUUCCACAGUGUUUCUCAGUGCCGGUCACGAUAGGGGUAUGCUUAGUCCCCAUCACCCAUUUCACCCACCAUAUGUCUUAUUUUUAAGGAAAUAUAUACAUCCACAUGAUUUGUCAUAAAGUUCAGCUCCCACACAUCCUGAGGAGUUUUAUAGCAUCCGAACUCUUUUCGAUACUCAUGGGAUAAAGCCAUCGUCAGCUCGGUCUUAUUGUCAAAUAUCCUUUCUUUCUCUGCUACAGGAAAUGUGUUUCUUUAUAAAAGGGUCAGUUGAGGAAAACUCUCACUUAUUCUCGUCCUUCUGAUGAAAUUUUCCAGUUCAGAGUCCGCUGCACCCGCACCAGAAUGCCAUAUGCUUGUUAGCGCAUCGAGUACCUUGAGGCUAUGAUUAGGCACCUGCACCCCGUUUCUUAAAACCUCUGCCUUCAAAAGUUAUGGGCAGAAGACAGAGGACCUGCUUCUGUGGCUGAGCUAUGUGACUCACUGUGCCCCUGGGCCUUGAGAGAAUCUGCACCCAUGAAUCGGGGAUGCGGUUGGUGUUUCUAGAAGGUCACAGGACAUGGCUGUUCUUCAAGAUUUGGCAGGGGGGGCAGGAAUCACUCUGAGUCUCGUGGGGGGUCCUGGCUCUUCUGACCACUUGUGCUGGGGGGUGCUGGCCCGUGGGGCAACCGGCUGAAACCACAGCAGCCUGGAGACCAAGGUCCAAGCAGGGGGACAGCAGAGGCUGUCCGAGGAGGAAGGGCCUCCCGUGUGCUUCUAGACCUGGCUGUCGUGGGGCGAGGGCCACGACGUCAGGCCUGUAGCAGGCCAGCUGGCAGAGGUCCCCAGCUGCCACCCGAGUCUUACCUCGUUCUGGUCUGGGGGACACUGCUUGUCGUGGCCUGACAUGUUUGGAUCUGUUAAGAGGGAACCUUUUUUCUCACAAGACACAAGAACAAAGCGUGGGAUUAGUUUUACGUGAACUUGGAUGUUCCCAUUUAGCUGAUAGGAAAAGCACGGCGUAGCGGCUAGAAACAGUGCUGGCUCGCCCACUCGGCACCUGUUAGUAGCCCUGCUGGGCCUCAGUCUCUCCAUCUGAACACAGGGACGACGAGGGUGCCGAGGCACCCAGGUCCACGAGCCUGGUGUGAGGCUUAAGCCAGAUAAUGUUUUUAAGGCACUCGGGACAAUGCCCAGCACAACGUAAGUGCUACAGACAAGUUCUGUGCAAUAAGCCCGUUCAAAAAUACACACCAAAGCGCGUUGACAGGUGUCAGGAAAGGGGGCAGCGACUUGACCUGCCGUGGGGAGAAGAUCAUCUCCUCCCGCGCCCUCAGCGUAUUCCCUUGUAAACCGGGCGUGAAGCACGCGUGUGUGUUCGUGGGCGUCCCUCCGGGGGUUGUGGCGCUCCGAUCGUGGGCGCCCACUGGCCACUCGCCCUGGAAAAAGUCAGCCAAGGAGGUCAGCAGAGCACGGGAAGGAGGACCUCAGGAAACAGUGUGUUUUCUGAGGCUGGUGGGUCAAACACAACUGGCUCUCGUUUGCUGGUUUCUGUCAGCGACUGUCUUCCGUGGAGCCGACAGGCAGCCUGACAGGUGCAAGAGGAGGUCUGUGUCCAGAACAAGACAACCUCAGGUCACUUCACGCCCCUCCUGGGAAGGCGUUCGCCCGCACGUGGGGGCCCAGUGGUACCAGGAUCGGCCCUUCCCCGGGGCACGGCCGCCUCCUCUCAGCCACGGUGACCACGUUGUAGAGAGAGCAGGGCACGCAUGUUUGACACUGGCCAACGCAUGGAUCCCAAGUGACUGUCCCAGAGGUGCCUCUGUUUACCGGUGAAUCAUCUCUGCUGAAGCCGCUGAGAAUUCACAUCCGAGGGAAGAAAGCUGUCCAGUCCCAGGUAAUUCGUGGAACGCUACUUGACGGAAUUUGCUUAUAAUAUUAACAAUUCCUGGGGCGUCUGGGGGGCUCCAUCAGUUAAGCGUCCAAUUCUUGACCUCGGCUCACGUCAUGAUCUCGAGGUUCAUGAGAUCGAGCCCCGUGUCGAGCUCUGUUCUAACAGCGUAGACCCUGCUUGGGAUUCUCCUUCUCUCCCUCUCUGUCUGCCUCUCUCUCUCUCAGAAUAAAUAAAACAUUAAAAAAACAUUUUGAAUAUCUCCCAGGAAAAUACAGCAUUUAGGAGCUUUGUAAGUCCGCACGAAGGCAACAUUAGAACUUCACACAGAGCACCCCAAAAUGAGGUGCUGGGACAGGGAGCAAGACCAGUGUCAUCGCAUGGGCUGUGGCUAUCAGUUUUGAUUGCUGGUUAACUGAGGGUCCGGGCCGUGAGGCAGUCAGGGCGGCAGGUCUGAUGGGCAUUAGAGACGGGAGAGUCUAGCACGGUUACUCUGUAAUAUUCAACAGAAACUCCCACCGCCAGGACAAAGUCGACAACCAAGGCUCCCGCGGUCACCGGCAAGCACUGCAAACACUCCAGGACCUGGGGCCAGUGACUGAGAAUAGUGUCCCUCUGUCACAGAGCUGGCCACUCUGGAGGGCAGGCCGACAUCUGGACGCACACAUUGGGUCACGGGCAAUGUGGUAAGUGAGGACACGAAGGGGUCAUGCUGUGUGGGAGAGCUGGGAAGGCUUCUCAGGAGGAUGGCCAUCGAGUGGGCAGGCAGGUCCCAUCCUAGUGGCCACAGCAUUGGUGCAGAUGGGUACGUGUCCCGGUGGUGCUGUGGGGGAGGGGCAGAAGGGACUCGUCUCCCUGGCUGGGGAGGAGGAGGUGAUGGGGUGUGGGUGGAGGGCAGAGACUGAUGGACGGCAGGGCUCUGUCUGGGACAGGGAGAGACGGCCCCAACAGUUGGGUUUCCGUGUCCUUCUCCCUCGUUCUAGCCCAAGGCCAUCCUCUGGCCAGCACACAGCUGGAGUUAAUAGCCAGCUGUAUAUAAUCCACGUAACCUCAGCUGGGCUAAGGCCAGCUGGGGUUAUUUCGGAAUUUCAGUAAAGUAGCCACGAAUCAAAAUGGUAUCUGUUUACUCCACUUGCCCCUAAGGAGAUACGAUCACGUUCCCUCUGGUCCUGCUUCUGUGUGAAGGUCCGUGUGACUUCAAAAUCAGCUUUAAUAUGGGCAAAAAUGGGGGCCCCUGGGGGGCUCAGUGAGCUGAGCAUCCGACUUCGGCUCAGGUCAUGAUCUCACAGUUUGUGGGUUCGAGCCCCGUGUCGGACUCUGUGCCGACAGCUCGGAGCGCGGAGCCUGCUUCGGAUGCUGUGUCUCCUUCUCUCUCUGCCCCUCCCCCGCUCACGCUUUGUCUCACUCUGUUUCUCAAAAAUAAAUAAAUGUAAAAAAAAUUUUUUUAACAUGGGCAAAAAUGUUUGAAACGUCAAGAUGGGUAGGACAGCGAGCAGUCUCAUCUACAGGUAUGACGCGUUUCCACGUCUGAGUGCAGAUUUAGGGGACACUAAUUAAAUUGGCUAAUUUUAUGUGUGGAGCAAAAUGCAGUCCCCACGUCCCCCCUUUUCAUCUUACUCAUUUCCUAGGAACUAGAAAAUUACAUAGCAUUUAAUUUAAGAGUCAAAAAAAAAAAAAUAGCGAGUGAGGAAAAUAGGUCCAAAAAUAGAUCUGACAUUUUCAGUGUAUUUACAAGAAUAGGCGGUUUGACUUUUUACCGUUCCGUUAUCUUUGUGCUCCGAGCACUAGAAGAGCGGUCCGAUUCUGCGUUGGAAGAGACGAGCGUUUCACUUGACGAUCCCGUAGAAAGAUGACGUCCUCCGCUUCCGCAGACCUAGUGGUUUCUGUGAGACUCCCGGCCGAUGGGCGUUAGCGGGUCACAUAAUAAGUGGUAAGACGUGAGCAAGUGAAAUUUCUCCCAGAACGUGGCUCCUAGCCCCUCUGUGGUUUGAAUAUCUCCGCGUGCACAAGUAUCUUUGUUCUCUCUGAGUUUGGA